Molecule: long non-coding RNA, 1421 nt
Organism: Spinacia oleracea (spinach)
Lineage: Eukaryota; Viridiplantae; Streptophyta; Magnoliopsida; Caryophyllales; Amaranthaceae
Exons: 2
Source: RefSeq, a predicted model, not a curated record
GUUGACAAUAAAGAAAGCAAAAAAAAAAGUGGUAUGUAAAAGUUAACAAAAAUGGAAUUAUUUAUGAUUUAAGUGGGGUCAUGAAAAAGUAAAAAAUAAUAAACAAUUGGGGGAGUGAGUGUACGUUACCAAAGAUGGAAUUAUGACUCCUAAAAAAGUAUCACCGUGAAUAUUAAUUGUGACUACUAAAAAAAUACGGAGGGUUGUGAUAGAUUCUGAGAUAUUGUAGUAGUGUAAUCUGUAUUAGAUAAGAGUUCAUCCAAAAAAGUUCAUGACGUUGUAAUUAAUUAAGUAUUAAUAUAAUGUAGGGAGUUAUUAAGAUAAUUUUGAGGUAUUAUUUCAAGCGUGUUGCCUAAUUAGCAAAUUUAAAUGCACUUGUAAUCUUGAUUGUUUAAACAUAUGCUAAUAUGCAUGCAGUGACAAAUUUAGAAAUUUCACACAAACAUGUUGUCUAAUUGCAUUAUAACAAUGUUUUUUAUGUUAUAGAAAACAACUUAAUUAAUAUGAAUAGUAAAAUUAAUAAAUGUACGUAGCUCCAACACGUGCAUGGCACGUGCUUUUCACUAGUUUUAUAAAUGCAGCUUUUUUUUUUGCUAACCUGACCUGUUAACACCCAUAAUUUUAUGGGAAUUUGAGUUCGAGUUGGAAAAUCAUACUCAAAAUCCAAAAAAUUGGCUCGGGCUCGAGUUUGGUGUCUGGGUCGGUUGAUCUUUGACGGGUCUAAUAAUCCUAAUUGACGUACAAGAAUUUUCAACGCGUUCCUUCCACCCUACUCUCCUCUUUCAAAAAAGAUCGGAACUUCCAGAUUGAAUUUCCUGCUCCCUAAAAUUCUUAUAUAUAUACACCACCUAAACAUCACAUACGCCUCUCAUCAUUCAACAUUUCAACACCAUACAAACACGAAAAUUAUUUCACUUACCCCAAAUCAUAUAUUUAUUUCUAUUUCAUUUUUUUAUAUAGAAAAACUUAGGAAUAUUAUUAAUCAAUAUGAAUUCCAACGGUUCAUCAUCACUGAGGUUUUAUGUAUUGCCCAUUAUUGGAUUUCUUAUGAUGGCUCUUUUCAAGGUCACUCAUGGUCAAACCAUGGCUCCUUCCCCUGCCGCUCUUCCCCCUUCUAACGACGGUGCUACUAUUGACCAAGGAAUUGCAUACCUUCUAUUGGUCGUUGCGCUUGCCGUCACCUACAUUAUUCACUAAAUUAAAAUCGUAAUUCAGUUUAGAUUAAUUUUUUUUAUUUAAUUUAAGUAAUUAUUUUUACACUUUAGUUUAUAUUUAAAAUUAACAUGAAUAUUAUGUAUAGGUCCGAGAAAUUCUUUAGCUACGGGGGAAGAAUUGCAGUGAUUUUGUAUUCUUUUCGAGUUUCUUCUAAACUUGUAAUAAUAAGUAAAUAAAAUACGGUAUCUCUUUAUUUAUGAAUUUUA